This 301-nucleotide unclassified non-coding RNA is filed under the name plant metagenome. Its description in RNAcentral is "partial contains 5.8S ribosomal RNA, internal transcribed spacer 2, and large subunit ribosomal RNA". The stretch from base 1 to 105 matches the Rfam family "5.8S ribosomal RNA", at positions 50 to 154 of the family's 154-position model. The record is from RNAcentral.
GAAAUGCGAUAAGUAGUGUGAAUUGCAGAAUUCAGUGAAUCAUCGAAUCUUUGAACGCACAUUGCGCCCUUUGGUAUUCCAAAGGGCAUGCCUGUUCGAGCGUCAUUUGUACCCUCAAGCUCUUCUUGGUGUUGGGCGUCUUUGUCUUCCCAGAAGACUCGCCUUAAAGUCAUUGGCAGCCGGCCUACUGGUUUCGGAGCGCAGCACAAGUCGCGCUCUCUUCCAGCCAAGGUCAGCGUCCACAAAGCCUUUUUUCAACUUUUGACCUCGGAUCAGGUAGGGAUACCCGCUGAACUUAAGC